GGGGCGGUUAGCUCAGCGGGAGAGCACCUGCCUUACAAGCAGGGGGUCGGCAGUUCAAACCUGCCACUGCCCACC
RNAcentral lists this transfer RNA (75 nucleotides) under Moorella thermoacetica ATCC 39073. Its description in RNAcentral is "tRNA-Val". It matches the Rfam family "tRNA". From Rfam's summary of the family: Transfer RNA (tRNA) molecules are approximately 80 nucleotides in length. Their secondary structure includes four short double-helical elements and three loops (D, anti-codon, and T loops). Further hydrogen bonds mediate the characteristic L-shaped molecular structure. tRNAs have two regions of fundamental functional importance: the anti-codon, which is responsible for specific mRNA codon recognition, and the 3' end, to which the tRNAs corresponding amino acid is attached (by aminoacyl-tRNA synthetases). tRNAs cope with the degeneracy of the genetic code in two manners: having more than one tRNA (with a specific anti-codon) for a particular amino acid; and 'wobble' base-pairing, i.e. permitting non-standard base-pairing at the 3rd anti-codon position. The record is from RNAcentral. Lineage: Bacteria; Bacillati; Bacillota; Clostridia; Neomoorellales; Neomoorellaceae.